This 293-nucleotide signal recognition particle RNA is filed under the name Oncorhynchus kisutch (coho salmon). RNAcentral describes it as "Metazoan signal recognition particle RNA (ENSOKIG00005022863.1)". It matches the Rfam family "Metazoan signal recognition particle RNA". From Rfam's summary of the family: The signal recognition particle (SRP) is a universally conserved ribonucleoprotein. It is involved in the co-translational targeting of proteins to membranes. The record is from Rfam by way of RNAcentral. Lineage: Eukaryota; Metazoa; Chordata; Actinopteri; Salmoniformes; Salmonidae.
GCCGGGUGCGGUGGCAUGGUGCUGUAAUCCAAGUCACUGGGAGGCUGAGGUUGGUGGAUCAAGUGAGCUGAGGAGCUCUGGGCUGCAGCACACUAUUUGGAACGGGUGUCCACGCUAAGUUCGGUAUCGAUAUGGUGUUCCUGGGGGAGUCCCGGGCCACCAGGUUGUCUAAGGAGGGUGAACCGGCCAGGUCGGAAACGAAGCAGGUCAAAUCCCCUUUGCUGUCAGUAGUGGUAUUCAUACUUGUAGAUGCUGCUGGCCAGCCUUGGCAAAACAUCGAGACCUAAUUUUUU